UCGGCCAGGUCAGGAGAGUGCCGCCCCCGAGGCGGCCGCCGAAGGCGCAGGAGGUCACCCACGUGGCCCUGAACGCUCAGGCAAAAGGACUGACAAACACGG
Molecule: non-coding RNA, 102 nt
Filed under: Hydrogenophaga sp.
Lineage: Bacteria; Pseudomonadati; Pseudomonadota; Betaproteobacteria; Burkholderiales; Comamonadaceae
Description: Glycine sequence
Rfam family: Glycine riboswitch aptamer
About the family: This family represents the bacterial glycine riboswitch. Glycine riboswitches usually consist of two metabolite-binding aptamers domains with similar structures in tandem.
Source: RNAcentral